AUCUUUGCGCUUGGGGCAAUGACGCAGCUAGGGAGGUACUAACUGAAGCGCGUAUAUUGCUGAUUGAAAACUGAUGAGACCGAUAAGUUGAUAAUUUUAUUGUCAGUUAACUCUUUUAAUUAUCUCCUUAGUA
Molecule: small nuclear RNA, 133 nt
Filed under: Arabidopsis halleri subsp. gemmifera
Lineage: Eukaryota; Viridiplantae; Streptophyta; Magnoliopsida; Brassicales; Brassicaceae
Description: snRNA U4
Rfam family: U4 spliceosomal RNA
About the family: U4 small nuclear RNA (U4 snRNA) is a component of the major U2-dependent spliceosome.
Source: RNAcentral